CUUUUUGCGCGCCGGCUUAAGCCAUUUACCUAAUCUGAAGCUCUCCCGCCCUUCUACAUGGCACAGAACUGUGUCUUUUUUGUGGUUGUGGCCGUGCAGAUUCCUUCAUCGGAGCUGAGUAAUUUGGGGGAAUAGGGUCUCCUCCGCCGCCAGGCGUUUUGGUUUCACUUUCUGUCGGACGCGCCUUGUCAUGUCCGGCGCCGGAUACAGCCCCGGUGAGCCGACGCUAACUCUGUAGCAACGUCCUUCUGUCAGGUUCUCGUGGAUAGCUUACGAAGCCUCGAAGAAGGUUAUACAGCAAGGAAACUACUGUCCCACAGAGGUCAAGCUCUGUACAGCCUUCUCACAGAUUUAGCUGAAGGGCUCGCUAGCAUUGCCAUUCUUCAUCAAUGUCUUACUAGAUUUCACCCCUUUCCAGCUGGUUGGUUCUGAUUCAACUUAUGGAGCCUGGUGACACCGGGCCGGAGGGGGCUCGACGACUCCAUGUCGAUGAUCCAGUGGUUGUAAGCCGAGCACAACUCCAAGAACUCCUUAGGAAAAGAAUCCACCACCUGAGAAUAAUCUCAGAAUACAGGAAUCCAAAACAGAGCAAAACUACUCAAAUAUUAUCCAUCUCUUCAAAAUCUACCUAUUACAAGCAAUAGCUACGUAUUUAUAGACAAAGGUAGCAACCUAUUAAGCUACAUACAACAUAAGCAAUCACUAAUCCUGUGUAGCCAUACAAACUGCAUACGAAACUAAUCCAGCAUGAAGUUAAUAGAAUUAAACAGCUCAGCUCUGACGUCACCCGACAGUUUGAUGUUGGCUUGUGAUGUCUCCUCUUUCCAUUUGUCAACUUCCUGUCACAGAUUGAACUUAUGAUCAAGUAAGUUUUCUAAUCAGCAUCACCAAAUCAUGUUCAAGUCAGACGUAAAAGGCAGUGCAGGAUAUGCCUUCCAUAAUUUUAGUUUUACAUUGCAAGGAUACAUUUACGUGGUUGUGACCAUAAUUUUAUUUUCUUAUAAGAAUUCCUCAGAAACAGAUGAGUCUAUUUGUUUUAACUUC
Dendrobium catenatum is the source of this 1044-nucleotide long non-coding RNA. RefSeq lists it as uncharacterized. NCBI's taxonomy places the organism in Eukaryota, Viridiplantae, Streptophyta, Magnoliopsida, Asparagales, Orchidaceae. The record is from RefSeq and is a predicted model, not a curated record. The transcript is spliced from 2 exons.